UACGUAGGGUGCAAGCGUUAAUCGGAAUUACUGGGCGUAAAGCGUGCGCAGGCGGUGAUGUAAGACAGGUGUGAAAUCCCCGGGCUUAACCUGGGAACUGCAUUUGUGACUGCAUCGCUGGAGUGCGGCAGAGGGGGAUGGAAUUCCGCGUGUAGCAGUGAAAUGCGUAGAUAUGCGGAGGAACACCAGUGGCGAAGGCGGCCACCUAGCCCGCACCUGACGCUGAGGCGCGACAGCGUGGGGAGCGAACUGG
RNAcentral lists this ribosomal RNA (253 nucleotides) under uncultured bacterium. RNAcentral's name for it is "partial 16S ribosomal RNA". It matches the Rfam family "Bacterial small subunit ribosomal RNA", at positions 524 to 776 of the family's 1533-position model. The record is from RNAcentral.